This 502-nucleotide ribosomal RNA is filed under the name uncultured bacterium. RNAcentral's name for it is "partial 16S ribosomal RNA". It matches the Rfam family "Bacterial small subunit ribosomal RNA", at positions 30 to 523 of the family's 1533-position model. The record is from RNAcentral.
AUUGAACGCUGGCGGCAGGCUUAACACAUGCAAGUCGGGCGGGGUGAUGGUGCUUGCACUAUCACUUAGCGGCGGACGGGUGAGUAAUGCUUAGGAAUCUGCCUAUUGGUGGGGGACAACAUCUCGAAAGGGAUGCUAAUACCGCAUACGUCUACGGGAAAAAGCAAGGGAUCACCUGUGACCUUGUCCUUAAUGAUUAGCCUAAGUCGGAUUAGCGAGUUGGUGGGGGAAAGGCCUACCAAGGCGACGGUCUGUAGCGGGUCUGAGAGGAUGAUCCGCCACACUGGGACUGAGACACGGCCCAGACUCCUACGGGAGGCAGCAGUGGGGAAUAUUGGACAAUGGGGGGAACCCUGAUCCAGCCAUGCCGCGUGUGUGAAGAAGGCCUUAUGGUUGUAAAGCACUUUAAGCGAGGAGGAGGCUCUUUUGGUUAAUACCCAAGAUGAGUGGACGUUACUCGCAGAAUAAGCACCGGCUAACUCUGUGCCAGCCGCCGCGGUAA